RNAcentral lists this long non-coding RNA (1073 nucleotides) under Nicotiana benthamiana. RNAcentral describes it as "long non-coding RNA (NBEN_LNC009753)". The record is from RNAcentral. Lineage: Eukaryota; Viridiplantae; Streptophyta; Magnoliopsida; Solanales; Solanaceae.
AUUCCUAAAUGCUAAACGAAUAGCCUUCAUCUUCCUCGUACUCCCUCGCCUGUAACGCCACAGCUUCGACGCCAGUGAAGACACUAUCACUUCUGUUGACCCCUAAAAUCACACCCCGAGAUCGCCUCAACGCCCUCAUCAUGAAUCUCUUCUCAGUUUCCCUCGAAUCAUAUCCGGUCUGCUUGAAUAUUGGAUUUUGCCACCGCCGUCUCUGCUGCCCACGGUGGCGCCGUCCCCAAUCACCACCAAACUGACACCCUAGGUCCCCCUUCUCCUCUGUUCGUAUCUGACAUUAUUUUUCUUCGAAUCACCCACAGGCCUGUCGAAUCUUAAUUCAAAGAUUUCAUCAAAGCCCUAAUUUUCCCAUAACUUCUUCAAGUUGAUACUAUGCCAACACCUCAUCUCUCUCAUGACGAAAUCACCAUCAACAAUGUUCAAAUAUCACCAGAGUCACUCGAAAUUUGAAUUGAGAGGCGGCAGAAGUCGAGUCGUAUUAGUGAGUUUUUUUUGUAAUUCACUUAUGUUUGCUUCUGCUAAAUAAACAAAAUUUGUUUGAAUAAUUUAUAGUCUAGUUUAGCAUUAAUCUAUUUUUGGGUUAUUAUUAUUAAGUGUUAAAUGUUUAGUUUAGUCCUUAGCUUAAUUUUUAUUGUUUGUUUGUUUGUUAAUUCUGAGUUGAAUCUUCGAUUGUUAUCAGUUGUUAGAUUAAUUAGGGUUUUUAUUUGUUGUUUGAUCGUUUAAGAUUUUGAUUCGUUUUAUUAAAGUUUGAUUGACAGAUUAAGAUUUGUUAAAUGUUGAUACAUGCCUGUUUUAGUUAAAAAUAGAAUUUAGUUUAUUUUUUUUUUGAAUUUCUCAUUUUUGCUUUGUUAGUUUUAAUUUUGUUCUGAUUUUGGCUUACAUAUGAGUUUUGUUCCUUUAACUUCAAUUUUUUAUUAAGUUAAUAUUUUUAUUAGUCUUAAGAUUAGUUUUAUUCAUUUUAACUAGGUUUGUGGAAAAAAUAGAAAAUAAAAGAUAGAGAGGAGAGAGAAACUCUCGGCGUAGGCUUCAAUGGAACAGUGCGCUUGAUCAGCGCACGU